GGAAUCUUCCACAAUGGGCGAAAGCCUGAUGGAGCAACGCCGCGUGUGUGAUGAAGGCUUUCGGGUCGUAAAGCACUGUUGUAUGGGAAGAACAGCUAGAAUAGGGAAUGAUUUUAGUUUGACGGUACCAUACCAGAAAGGGACGGCUAAAUACGUGCCAGCAGCCGCGGUAAUACGUAUGUCCCGAGCGUUAUCCGGAUUUAUUGGGCGUAAAGCGAGCGCAGACGGUUGAUUAAGUCUGAUGUGAAAGCCCGGAGCUCAACUCCGGAAUGGCAUUGGAAACUGGUUAACUUGAGUGCAGUAGAGGUAAGUGGAACUCCAUGUGUAGCGGUGGAAUGCGUAGAUAUAUGGAAGAACACCAGUGGCGAAGGCGGCUUACUGGACAAAGACUGACGCUCAGGUGCGAAAGCGUGGGGAGCAAACA
RNAcentral lists this ribosomal RNA (424 nucleotides) under uncultured Leuconostoc sp. Its description in RNAcentral is "bacterial SSU rRNA". It matches the Rfam family "Bacterial small subunit ribosomal RNA", at positions 358 to 774 of the family's 1533-position model. The record is from RNAcentral. Lineage: Bacteria; Bacillati; Bacillota; Bacilli; Lactobacillales; Lactobacillaceae.